This is a long non-coding RNA of Oncorhynchus keta (chum salmon), 826 nucleotides long. RefSeq lists it as uncharacterized. The record is from RefSeq and is a predicted model, not a curated record. Lineage: Eukaryota; Metazoa; Chordata; Actinopteri; Salmoniformes; Salmonidae. The transcript has 4 exons.
GGAAGAGGAUUAAAGGGAUUUUCAAUCUGAGGAGGAGGUAAGACAAGGUGAUGUCUGGCCACCUGGAAGAGGAUUAAAGGGAUUUUCAAUCUGAGGAGGAGGUAAGACAAGGUGAUGUCUGGCCACCUGGAAGAGGAUUAAAGGGAUUUUCAAUCUGAGGAGGAGGUAAGACAAGGUGAUGUCUGGCCACCUGGAAGAGGAUUAAAGGGAUUUUCAAUCUGAGGAGGAGGUAAGACAAGGGGAUGUCUGGCCACCUGGAAGAGGAUUAAAGGGAUUUUCAAUCUGAGGAGGAGGUAAGACAAGGUGAUGUCUGGCCACCUGGAAGAGGAUUAAAGGGAUUUUCAAUCUGAGGAGGAGGUAAGACAAGGUGAUGUCUGGCCACCUGGAAGAGGAUUAAAGGGAUUUUCAAUCUGAGGAGGAGGUAAAACAAGGUGAUGUCUGGCCACCUGGAAGAGGAUUAAAGGGAUUUUCAAUCUGAGGAGGAGGUAAAACAAGGUGAUGUCUGGCCACCUGGAAGAGGAUUAAAGGGAUUUUCAAUCUGAGGAGGAGGUAAGACAAGGUGAUGUCUGGCCACCUGGAAGAGGAUUAAAGGGAUUUUCAAUCUGAGGAGGAGGUAAAACAAGGUGAUGUCUGGCCACCUGGAAGAGGAUUAAAGGGAUUUUCAAUCUGAGGAGGAGGUAAAACAAGGUGAUGUCUGGCCACCUGGAAGAGGAUUAAAGGGAUUUUCAAUCUGAGGAGGAGGUAAAACAAGGGGAUGUCUGGCCACCUGGAAGAGGAUUAAAGGGAUUUUCAAUCUGAGGAGGAGGUAAAACAAGGGGAUGUCUGG